RNAcentral lists this ribosomal RNA (252 nucleotides) under uncultured Planctomycetaceae bacterium. RNAcentral's name for it is "partial 16S ribosomal RNA". It matches the Rfam family "Bacterial small subunit ribosomal RNA", at positions 796 to 1041 of the family's 1533-position model. The record is from RNAcentral. Lineage: Bacteria; Pseudomonadati; Planctomycetota; Planctomycetia; Planctomycetales; Planctomycetaceae.
CUGGCCGUAAACUCUGAGUACUGAAUUGAAGGAUCCUCCAUAGUCCUUCAGUUGUAGCGAAAGUGUUAAGUACUCCGCCUGGGGAGUAUGGUCGCAAGGCUGAAACUCAAAGAAAUUGACGGGGGCUCACACAAGCGGUGGAGGAUGUGGCUUAAUUCGAGGCUACGCGAAGAACCUUAUCCCAGUCUUGACAUGUUUGGAUUAACUCCUGGAAACAGGAGCCAGGCCUUCGGGUACAACAAGCACAGGUGC